UACGUAGGGUGCAAGCGUUGUUCGGAAUUACUGGGCGUAAAGGGCUCGUAGGCGGCCAACUAAGUCGGAUGUGAAAUCCCCAGGCUCAACUUGGGAACUGCAUCCGAUACUGGAUGGCUUGAAUUCGGGAGAGGGAUGCAGAAUUCCAGGUGUAGCGGUGAAAUGCGUAGAUAUCUGGAGGAAUACCGGUGGCGAAGGCGGCAUCCUGGACCGACAUUGACGCUGAGGAGCGAAAGCUAGGGGAGCAAACGGG
Molecule: ribosomal RNA, 253 nt
Filed under: uncultured bacterium
Lineage: Bacteria
Description: partial 16S ribosomal RNA
Rfam family: Bacterial small subunit ribosomal RNA
Source: RNAcentral